Musa acuminata AAA Group (dessert banana) is the source of this 1644-nucleotide long non-coding RNA. RefSeq lists it as uncharacterized. NCBI's taxonomy places the organism in Eukaryota, Viridiplantae, Streptophyta, Magnoliopsida, Zingiberales, Musaceae. The record is from RefSeq and is a predicted model, not a curated record. The transcript is spliced from 3 exons.
GUGAAUGUGUCUGUGUAUGUUACUAUAUAUGGAUCCCAAUUCCAUCAAAACCGAUAUGGAAUCCGCCUUGCGAAUGGAGUUGCUGAAACCUUAGACACGAAGUCCAUUUCGCAGCUGGAGGACUCGGCCAGUAUAUAAACGAGCUCCGCGAUGGGUAGGAAAAGGAAGUGAGGACUCACAUGGCAGUGGUAGACGUAACCCAGGCACAGCAGUGGCAUCAGCUGCUUCUCGGAUAACCUAACUACAUGAUGAAGAUAGAGAUUUGAAUCCAGGAUUUUACGAUGACCUAUUAUCAAGGUUUUUUAUCAUCUAGGUGUCGGAGGGGGUGCGCUUGAGGGUGGCGGCGACGUCGGAGACCUUGCGGCCGAGCAUGAGGGAGGCCAUCAUCUCGUCGUUACGGCGGAUGUUCUCCAGCCGCCGGCGCUCGUACUCCGUCAGGGUAUCCGACGCCAUAAGCGAGUCGGCGACGAGAGAGAGAGAGAGAGGGCUUAUUAUCAUCUAAACUAGUCAACCCCAAAGUCAAAUAUCUGUCAUUCCCACCUACACCAAUUGCGUACCUAUAUAUAGAUUUGAGUCAUAUCCCUUUUCUUAAUAUAUAAUCAUCAAACCAAUAUUUGAAAUAUUAGUACUAUGGUCCACAUGUCACAUAGUUCUAUCUUGUAUGGAUUAGGAUCUAUCAUUAGGCUAGCAAAUAUUUUUUAUUUUAUUUUAUUUAAAAAAAAUCAAAAUUAUGAUUAAUUGUAAAUAAUUUUAAUUAAUAAUGUGAUAUGAGGAUGCAUAUUUCUACAAAAUUUCCAAAGGUAGGUUAGUCCCAUAUUAAUGAUCGGUUUGAUGCAGAAGGCCGAGCCGGGUUACGUCUGACAUUGCCCUGCGAGUGUUCAUCACCUGCGCCACCUGUUUAACGGGUUAGGCAUCGUGCCAUUUCGAAUCAACGAGACUGCUCUUCGAUGGCUACAUGUCGAACGAAGCACUUCCUAUGUGCUUCGACCACAGUCUUAGUAGGAUCACCAAGGCAGUGACAACAGAUUUUACAUGGUCGGGGAUGAAGAGAGCGUGAAGCCCAUAAAUCGAGACACAUCAACAUCUAAUACGAUUACAGGAAGUUUAUACGGAAUUCGUCUCCUUCACAUCUAUUGCUUGGAUCGAUGACCAUAAAUCAACGUUGCACGUUGCACUUCACCGCGCUGUUCUUCUGCGUCAUGCACGCCUUGAACGCAUCCAGAUCCACCAACGGUCUCGCCCUCGCCCUCACCGCCUGAAACGUCGCUAGAUGCCGGUGAUCAAGUGGAUGGUUGUCCCCCCCGUCAGGCUGAUCACCUCCCACACCUCGGUGUUCCUCGAUUUCAGCAUCUUCGUCGUUGGGUCUUUGAAUCUCUUCCCGUUGAUGUACAGGUGUGUCGGGUUGCUCGUCGCGCUCUGUGUAGUCAUACAUCACGAUGUACCUCGUCACCAUCGCCUUCCUCUUGUCCACUACCAAAUAGUUUUGAUUAAGCUUGACGGUAUCCUCGGUUCAUUCAUAGUCUUCUUCGAUGAUAGGAUGAACUUGAUCACCUUGCUGUUGAGGGUGCUCGUCGGAGUUUUGUUAGGGUACGAAUAUGGUGCGUUGUUAGUCAAUAAAAUCGUUGAGGUGUUUGACUUGGAGAA